GAAUCUGCCUGGUAGUGGGGGAUAACGUUCGGAAACGAACGCUAAUACCGCAUACGUCCUACGGGAGAAAGCAGGGGACCUUCGGGCCUUGCGCUAUCAGAUGAGCCUAGGUCGGAUUAGCUAGUUGGUGAGGUAAUGGCUCACCAAGGCGACGAUCCGUAACUGGUCUGAGAGGAUGAUCAGUCACACUGGAACUGAGACACGGUCCAGACUCCUACGGGAGGCAGCAGUGGGGAAUAUUGGACAAUGGGCGAAAGCCUGAUCCAGCCAUGCCGCGUGUGUGAAGAAGGUCUUCGGAUUGUAAAGCACUUUAAGUUGGGAGGAAGGGCAGUUACCUAAUACGUGAUUGUUUUGACGUUACCGACAGAAUAAGCACCGGCUAACUCUGUGCCAGCAGCCGCGGUAAUACAGAGGGUGCAAGCGUUAAUCGGAAUUACUGGGCGUAAAGCGCGCGUAGGUGGUUUGUUAAGUUGGAUGUGAAAUCCCCGGGCUCAACCUGGGAACUGCAUUCAAAACUGACUGACUAGAGUAUGGUAGAGGGUGGUGGAAUUUCCUGUGUAGCGGUGAAAUGCGUAGAUAUAGGAAGGAACACCAGUGGCGAAGGCGACCACCUGGACUAAUACUGACACUGAGGUGCGAAAGCGUGGGGGAGCAAACAGGAUUAGAUACCCUGGUAGUCCACGCCGUAAACGAUGUCAACUAGCCGUUGGAAGCCUUGAGCUUUUAGUGGCGCAGCUAACGCAUUAAGUUGACCGCCUGGGGGAGUACGGCCCGCAAGGGUUA
This 783-nucleotide ribosomal RNA is filed under the name Pseudomonas extremorientalis. Its description in RNAcentral is "bacterial SSU rRNA". It matches the Rfam family "Bacterial small subunit ribosomal RNA", at positions 122 to 897 of the family's 1533-position model. The record is from RNAcentral. Lineage: Bacteria; Pseudomonadati; Pseudomonadota; Gammaproteobacteria; Pseudomonadales; Pseudomonadaceae.